AUUGAACGCUGGCGGCAGGCCUAACACAUGCAAGUCGAGCGGAGCGGCGGAAGGGGGAGUAAUGCCUAGGAAUCUGCCUGGUAGUGGGGGAUAACGUCCGGAAACGGGCGCUAAUACCGCAUACUAUCAGAUGAGCCUAGGUCGGAUUAGCUAGUUGGUGGGGGAAAGGCCUACCAAGGCGACGAUCCGUAACUGGUCUGAGAGGAUGAUCAGUCACACUGGAACUGAGGCACGGUCCAGACUCCUACGGGAGUCAGCAGGGGGGAAUAUUGGACCAUGGGCGAAAGCCUGAUCCAGCCAUGCCGCGUGUGUGAGGAAGGUCUUCGGAUUGUAAAGCUCUUUAAGUUGGGAGGCGUUACCUACAGAAUAAGCACCGGCUAACUACGUGCCAGCAGCCGCGGUAAUUC
RNAcentral lists this ribosomal RNA (407 nucleotides) under uncultured bacterium. RNAcentral describes it as "partial 16S ribosomal RNA". It matches the Rfam family "Bacterial small subunit ribosomal RNA", at positions 30 to 526 of the family's 1533-position model. The record is from RNAcentral.